AAGAGAUCGGGAUAACACCUGGAAACAGAUGCUAAUACCGGAUAACAACAGAUGAUGCCUAUCAACUGNUUUUUUAAAAAGAUGGUUCUGCUAUCACUCUUGGAUGGACCUGCGGUGCAUUAGCUAGUUGGUAGGGUAACGGCCUACCAAGGCGAUGAUGCAUAGCCGAGUUGAGAGACUGAUCGGCCACAUUGGGACUGAGACACGGCCCAAACUCCUACGGGAGGCAGCAGUU
This 235-nucleotide ribosomal RNA is filed under the name uncultured Lactobacillus sp. Its description in RNAcentral is "partial 16S ribosomal RNA". It matches the Rfam family "Bacterial small subunit ribosomal RNA", at positions 132 to 355 of the family's 1533-position model. Lineage: Bacteria; Bacillati; Bacillota; Bacilli; Lactobacillales; Lactobacillaceae. The record is from RNAcentral.